Molecule: non-coding RNA, 1457 nt
Organism: Triticum urartu
Lineage: Eukaryota; Viridiplantae; Streptophyta; Magnoliopsida; Poales; Poaceae
Source: RefSeq, a predicted model, not a curated record
UAUUAUCCCUGUUUGAUAGUUUUUCUCCUCUUGACCCAAAUAAAGAGAUUUGAUGUGAUGAUUGAGGUAGAAGGCUAGCUGAACAUAUUGAUCAAAUGUCUGCUGGUGUACUUUAUUAUUCUUUAUUUCAUUGUUUUUUGUUUGGUGACCGUGAACUCUAUAGGUAGAGGAGCAGAGGACAUAAAGGUGCAUAGCUAUUUUGUCACUACUAAUAUAUAUGACUAAUUAAUGCCCACAAAGUUUUAAUGGGAUAAUAAUGAGAGAUUAUCAAGGAACAGAGCUCUCUGGUACUUCAUAUAUGUGAUCCUUUUAGUAGCCCACAAGAUGUCUCAGGACAUGCUCAUAAGAGGAUAGGAUGUGAUACAUGUUUGCUCAAACGUUCCAAGACUUGGAUGAACAGUUGGAAUAAAGGAUCUCUUUCUGUCUCCACCAUGGAAAAAAUAGAAUCAACCCUUCCUCUUAUUAAUCAUGUGCAGCCUCUUUAAUUUGCCUUCCUAGCCUGUGUCAUUUGGUUCUGAAAUUUUUUCUGCUAUGCAAUUUAACAAUUUAAUUUCGUGCGUCAUGUGCAGAGAGGUCCAGCACGAUCUGAGACACAUGGGUUUUCUGUUCUCAACUUCUCAUGUCUGAUUUUAAUUCUUUUGCUUUUUGGUUAACCAGAGCUCAGAAUCAAGAUUAAGGUGUGCGCUCAUAUAACCUAUGCGGUGUCAUGGUUGUUAAAUCCUGCUCCCCAUGGCUCACUAUUGCAUUUGGAAGUUGGAACUGUAUCUUAGAUUGAUUUGCUAUGAUGGGAUAUAAAUAGCAGCCUUACUGAUGUGUCACUUUACUUGGCUGCUUGCUGCUGAAACUUCUAUAUUUCUAUUUCAGAAUGUAGUUGAGCACAAAGCAAAAAGGGUGAUGUUUGCCCAUAGAUGCCUGAUGAUGAUCAUUUCCUGAAGAGUACAACGCUGGGUGGAUAUUCUUCUACCUUAGCAGAUGAGAUCGAUUGUAUUUCAAGAUGAGACACUGACGGGAAAAGAAGCUUUGCCCUCCGAACAUGAAGCCUAGGCUCUAGACUGGGUAUCUCUUAAAGUAAUCAUACUUUUGAUUUGUCAAAGACGGGAAGAAGUAUCCCUAGGAGGAAGACAGGAUCCUGGGUGGAAAAUUGGUGAAAGUGUUACGACCAUGGGAAAUGGAUGCCUCCUGCUACCAGCUGCGCCCUGAGGUGUGUUUCUUUGCAGGUAUCUGAUUAGGUCAAAAGCGACAGGAACUUUAUGUACGCUGAGUACUCUCUUUCGCCUGGCAUAGUGAAUGAGAACAAAUCAAAAUUAGUGGACCAAGUUAUAUGUGCUAUCCUUUUACUGGUGUACAGAGAACAUAUUCCAGCAUGUAUUUGGGUGUAUGAACUGUUGUAUCGAUGAUGUCGAGUCGCUGUGCGUACAUGUCAUGGCUUCAUAUGCAUAUAUAAAUUGUUGUAUCCA